This is a long non-coding RNA of Culex quinquefasciatus (southern house mosquito), 454 nucleotides long. RefSeq lists it as uncharacterized. NCBI's taxonomy places the organism in Eukaryota, Metazoa, Arthropoda, Insecta, Diptera, Culicidae. The transcript has 2 exons. The record is from RefSeq and is a predicted model, not a curated record.
UCAAUUCGACGUCGAUUAUCGUCGACGCAAACAGUUUGACAGUUCUCUUCUGUUGAUCUUGUUCGGACUUGAUUGCAACCGAGUCGAACCAGUUGUUGUUGCUUUUAGGCUUUUGGAGGAUUUUGGACAGUUAAUAGAUUUCGGUCUUCGUGGCGGAGGAGGAGGAGGACGGGAAAUAUGGUUUACUCGGCGGGACAUUCCGGAAGACGGGACGGGAAGGAACCAGUUUGCGAUCGUGGAAGCGGUUGGUGUUUGGUGUUUUACCGUCCGCGGGAUGUUGCGACGCAUACCUAAUGGAACUGGUGAGUCAUGUUUUAGAAACGAUGGAGGUGUGCUGGAAGUGCGAUUGGACGAUCGAAAUUCAAAAUAGGAUGAAUGGAACAAAACAAAUUCUCAACUUUUCAAUCCAAUAAUUCCAAACUGAAAAAUAAAAAAAUCAAAAAUACUAAAAAUU